AUAGCUCAGUUGGUAGAGCACCUGACUUGUAAUCAGGGGGUCCCGAGUUCGACUCUUGGU
RNAcentral lists this transfer RNA (60 nucleotides) under Neisseria meningitidis. RNAcentral describes it as "tRNA-Thr". It matches the Rfam family "tRNA", at positions 7 to 64 of the family's 71-position model. Rfam says of the family: Transfer RNA (tRNA) molecules are approximately 80 nucleotides in length. Their secondary structure includes four short double-helical elements and three loops (D, anti-codon, and T loops). Lineage: Bacteria; Pseudomonadati; Pseudomonadota; Betaproteobacteria; Neisseriales; Neisseriaceae. The record is from RNAcentral.